AAAACCAAGAGUUUGAUCCCGGCUCAGAAUGAACGCUGGCGGCGUGCCUAACACAUGCAAGUCGAGCGAGAAAUCCCGGGCUUGCCUGGGAGAGUAAAGCGGCGCACGGGUGAGUAACGCGUGGGCAACCUGCCCUUGAGUGGGGGAAAACAUUUCGAAAGGAAUGCUAAUCCCGCAUACGACCUUUGUGCAUAAGUACAAAGGGGAAAGACGGCCUCUGCUUGCAAGCUGUCGCUCAUGGAUGGGCCCGCGUUGGAUUAGCUUGUUGGUGAGGUAAUGGCUCACCAAGGCUGCGAUCCAUAGCUGGUUUGAGAGGACGAUCAGCCACACUGGAACUGAGACACGGUC
This 348-nucleotide ribosomal RNA is filed under the name Deltaproteobacteria bacterium. Its description in RNAcentral is "bacterial SSU rRNA". It matches the Rfam family "Bacterial small subunit ribosomal RNA", at positions 1 to 331 of the family's 1533-position model. The record is from RNAcentral. Lineage: Bacteria; Pseudomonadati; Myxococcota; Myxococcia.